AGGGUGCCGGGGCUUCUCCCGUUUUUUUCUUCGACGGGAGAAG
RNAcentral lists this transfer RNA (43 nucleotides) under Cnemaspis huaseesom. RNAcentral describes it as "partial tRNA-Cys". Lineage: Eukaryota; Metazoa; Chordata; Lepidosauria; Squamata; Gekkonidae. The record is from RNAcentral.